This 756-nucleotide ribosomal RNA is filed under the name Celeribacter sp. RNAcentral's name for it is "bacterial SSU rRNA". It matches the Rfam family "Bacterial small subunit ribosomal RNA", at positions 109 to 902 of the family's 1533-position model. Lineage: Bacteria; Pseudomonadati; Pseudomonadota; Alphaproteobacteria; Rhodobacterales; Roseobacteraceae. The record is from RNAcentral.
AGUAACGCGUGGGAACGUACCCUUCACUACGGAAUAGUCCCGGGAAACUGGGUUUAAUACCGUAUACGCCCUUCGGGGGAAAGAAUUUCGGUGAGGGAUCGGCCCGCGUUAGAUUAGUUAGUUGGUGGGGUAAUGGCCUACCAAGACUACGAUCUAUAGCUGGUUUGAGAGGAUGAUCAGCAACACUGGGACUGAGACACGGCCCAGACUCCUACGGGAGGCAGCAGUGGGGAAUCUUAGACAAUGGGGGCAACCCUGAUCUAGCGAUGCCGCGUGAGUGAUGAAGGCCUUAGGGUCGUAAAGCUCUUUCGCCUGUGAUGAUAAUGACAGUAGCAGGUAAAGAAACCCCGGCUAACUCCGUGCCAGCAGCCGCGGUAAUACGGAGGGGGUUAGCGUUGUUCGGAAUUACUGGGCGUAAAGCGCACGUAGGCGGAUUAGUCAGUCAGAGGUGAAAUCCCAGGGCUCAACCCUGGAACUGCCUUUGAUACUGCUAGUCUUGAGUUCGAGAGAGGUAAGUGGAAUUCCGAGUGUAGAGGUGAAAUUCGUAGAUAUUCGGAGGAACACCAGUGGCGAAGGCGGCUUACUGGCUCGAUACUGACGCUGAGGUGCGAAAGUGUGGGGAGCAAACAGGAUUAGAUACCCUGGUAGUCCACACCGUAAACGAUGAAUGCCAGUCGUCGGGUAGCAUGCUAUUCGGUGACACACCUAACGGAUUAAGCAUUCCGCCUGGGGAGUACGGUCGCAAGAUUAAAACUC